AGAGCUCAUAGAUCCAAACAUUUUUUACUUUCAAAAUUCAAACCCCUCUCUCUAACUUCACUUCCCCCAAACACAAAAAAACCAAAUAUCCACUUCUAGGGUUUCGAAUUUCGAUCUCCAAAACCCUAAUUCCCUUCCCAUUCAUUCUCUAGGGUUUUGUGAGACAAUGCACAUCAAGGAGGUAUGCUUGGAAGGGUUCAAAUCCUACGCGACGAGAACCGUGGUCCCAGGGUUCGACCCGUUUUUCAACGCGAUUACGGGUCUCAACGGGUCCGGAAAGUCCAACAUCCUCGAUUCGAUUUGCUUCGUGCUCGGGAUCACGAAUUUGCAGCAGGUUAGGGCUUCGAAUCUUCAGGAGCUCGUGUACAAGCAAGGCCAAGCGGGAAUUACUAAGGCCACUGUGUCCAUCGUCUUCAAUAACUCUGACCGGACUCGGAGCCCGCUCGGGUACGAGGACCACCGCGAAAUCACUGUUACUCGACAGAUUGUGGUUGGUGGAAGGAACAAAUAUCUGAUCAAUGGAAAACUUGCCCAGCCUAGUCAGGUUCAGAAUCUUUUCCAUUCGGUGCAGCUUAAUGUUAACAAUCCACAUUUUCUUAUAAUGCAAGGGCGUAUUACCAAGGUUUUAAAUAUGAAACCCCCUGAGAUCCUGUCCAUGCUUGAAGAGGCUGCUGGUACAAGAAUGUAUGAGACAAAGAAAGAGUCUGCAUUGAAAACACUUGAGAAGAAGCAGAGUAAGGUUGAUGAGAUCAACAAGCUUCUUGACCAGGAAAUACUGCCUGCUUUGGAGAAGUUGAGGAAAGAACGGAUGCAGUAUAUGCAAUGGGCGAAUGGCAAUGCUGAGUUGGAUAGACUUAAAAGGUUUUGCAUUGCUUACGAAUUUGUUCAAGCAGAGAGGAUUAAAGAUAAUGCAGUAUGUGGGGUGGAACAGGUAAAGGCCAGGAUUGCCGAGACUGACGACAAUAUGGGAACUAUGCGGGCAGAAAUACAGGAGAUGGAGACUGAAGUAUCAAAAUUGACUGCUGAAAAGGAAGCAAGUAUGGGUGGGGAGGUUAAAUCUUUGUCGGAGAAAGUAGACGCUAUUUCUCAAGAUCUUGUGAGGGAAGUGUCUGCACUGAACAAUAAAGAAGACACUCUCAAAAGUGAAAAAGAAAAUGCUGAAAAGAUUGUUAAUAAUAUUGAAGAUUUGAAGCAUUCUGUGGAAGAGAAGGCCUCUGCUGUUAGAAAGGCUGAAGAAGGGGCAUCUGAUCUGAAAAAGAGGUUUGAGGAACUUACUAAGAGUUUGGAGGAGUAUGAAAAUGAUUACCAGGGUGUAUUAGCUGGCAAGAGCAAUGGAAAUGAGGAGAAAUGCCUUGAAGAUCAACUAGGUGAUGCCAAGGUAGCUGUUGGAAGUGCUGAAACAGAAUUGAAACAGUUGAAAACAAAAAUAAGCCACUGUGAGAAGGAGCUGAAAGAGAAAAGACGUCAGUUAAUGUCAAAACGUGAAGAAGCUGUUUCUGUAGAGAAAGAGCUUAAGGCUAGAACAAGUGAUGUGGAAAAUGUUAAGAAGGCAUUAGAGUCUCUUCCAUAUAAAGAGGGACAGAUGGAGGCAUUACAAAAGGAUCGUGCAUCUGAGUUGGAGCUGGUGCAGAAGUUGAAGGAUGAAAUACGCAAUCUGUCAGCACAAUUAGCAAAUGUUGAGUUCACAUAUCGUGACCCUAUGAGGAAUUUUGAUAGGUCAAAGGUAAAAGGUGUAGUGGCAAAGCUUAUCAAAGUAAGGGAUAGCUCCACGAUGACUGCCUUAGAGGUUACUGCUGGUGGAAAGUUGUUUAAUGUUGUUGUAGACACAGAAAAUACUGGGAAACAACUGCUUCAGAAUGGUGAUCUUCGAAGAAGAGUGACAAUUAUACCUUUGAACAAAAUACAAUCCCACGUUGUUCCCCCAAGGGUUCAACAUUCUGCUGUUAGAUUGGUAGGCAAUGAUAAUGCAGAACUGGCUCUUUCCUUGGUUGGUUAUGAGGAGGAGUUGAAGACUGCUAUGGAAUAUGUAUUUGGUUCAACCUUUGUUUGCAAGACUGUUGAUGCUGCAAAGGAGGUUGCUUUUAAUAGGGAAAUUCGCACCCGAAGUGUCACUCUUGAAGGGGAUAUAUUUCAGCCAAGUGGUCUUUUGACUGGUGGAAGCCGCAAGGGUGGUGGUGAUUUGUUAAGGCAACUUCAUCAUUUGGCAGAGGCUGAAUCAAAACUUUAUGCACAUCAGAAAAUGUUGUCUGAAAUUGAAGCAAAGAUUGCACAACUCAUGCCUCUUCAGAAAAAGUUCACCGGCCUUAAAACACAGUUGGAGCUUAAAUCAUAUGACCUUUCUUUAUUUCAGGGCAGGGCUGAGCAAAAUGAGCAUCAUAAGCUUGGUGAAUUAGUGAAGAAAAUCGAGUUGGAGCUUGAAGAAGCAAAAUCUGCGGCUAAGGAAAAGCAACUUGUAUAUGAAAACUGUGUAAAUACAGUUUCAUUGCUUGAGAAAUCUAUCAAAGAACAUGGUGAUAAUCGGGAGGGCAGGCUCAAGGAUUUGGAGAAAAAGAUUAAGGCAGUAAAAGCUCAAAUGCAGUCAUCUUCAAAAGCUGUAAAGGGGCAUGAAAAUGAAAAGGAGAGACUUGUUAUGGAAAUGGAAGCUGUUGUACAGGAACGUGCCUCCUUGGAGGCUCAACUAGUUUCUUUGAGAACACAAAUUGACAGUCUCACUGCUGAAUUAGAGGAACAAAAAGCCAAGGUUGCUGCCACUAGGAAUAAUCAUGAUCAAGCUCAAUCCAAACUCAAUUUGAUUCGACAGAAGAUGAAGGAAUGUGAUUCCCAAAUUAGUUGUAUUCUUAAAGACCAGCAGAAACUUCAACAUAAACUUAGUGAGACUAAUCUUGAGAGGAAGAAGAUGGAAAAUGAGGUCAAACGAAUGGAGAUGGAACAGAAAGAUUGCUCUACAAAGGUAGACAAGCUUAUUGAGAAGCAUGCUUGGAUUGCACCUGAGAAACAGCUAUUUGGAAGAAGUGGGACUGAUUAUGAUUUUGCAUCUCGUGAUCCUAUUAAGGCAAGGGAAGAACUUGAGAGACUGCAGGUGGAACAAUCUGGCCUUGAGAAAAGGGUGAACAAGAAAGUUAUGGCAAUGUUUGAGAAAGCAGAAGAUGAGUACAAUGACUUGAUGUCCAAGAAAAACAUCAUUGAGAAUGACAAGUCCAAAAUCAAGAAGGUCAUUGAAGAGCUAGAUGAGAAGAAGAAGGAAACACUAAAAGUUACUUGGGUAAAAGUUAACAGUGACUUUGGAUCCAUCUUUUCUACCCUAUUGCCUGGAACCAUGGCAAAACUAGAGCCUCCUGAAGGAUGCAGCUUCCUUGAUGGUCUUGAGGUUCGUGUUGCAUUUGGAUCUGUUUGGAAACAAUCCCUGUCAGAACUCAGUGGAGGCCAACGAUCUCUACUUGCACUUUCUCUAAUCUUGGCACUGCUACUCUUUAAACCAGCUCCGCUUUACAUAUUGGAUGAGGUUGAUGCAGCUCUUGAUCUAAGCCACACGCAGAACAUAGGGAGAAUGAUAAAAACUCACUUUCCACACUCCCAGUUUAUUGUGGUCUCAUUGAAAGAAGGCAUGUUCAAUAAUGCUAAUGUUCUUUUCCGAACAAAAUUUGUGGACGGUGUUUCUACUGUUCAAAGGACAGUUGCAGCUAAAUAGAGAAAGUGAUUGCUGUUGUCUUAGCAUUUAAUUCUAUUGUUCAUAUGGGUAUAUGACAUUCAAGCUGAUGAGAGCUAUGCAUUUUGCAGCUACCUCUUUAAUCCAGCCCGAUGAAGUUUGUUACUGCGAAAAGGAACUCUUGAUAUAUAGUUUGUAUAUUUGCUGUUGUAUUUGCAACACUAUAUUUCCUGAAUCCAUUGUUGACCAACCUCUUGUUGGAUGUACAUCAAGUUGUGCCUCUCUAAGACCUGCAGUCUCUAAAGCCUCUUAAGCAAUUUUUUAAAAUCCUUUUAGGUUUUGAAGUUGUCCUUAUGAGAUACAUCACUAAAGAAUAGUGCUACGUUUUAGUCCUUGAUUUUGGCUAAUUAGAUUUUAUUUUUUAAAAAGAUUGAGCAAGAAAGACAUCGAAUAAGCAGAAAAUGAAAGCCUAGUAGCCCUAUUGAGACUUGAGAGUGACAAUUAGCCAGAUGCAAAUUGUAUUUCGGCAUUGGAGCUUAGUAAUCGAAUUCCAAAGGAAUUCCAGAACAGGAAAACGUGAUAUCUAGUAAUUAAAUAACCAAGUUAGGUCAAGAACAAUAUUGUUGGAAUUUGGAUAUACUUUGUUAUAUUCCUUUACUAAAAAAAAAAAAAAAAUCUUUUGCUUCUUUAUGGCAGAAGAUAUGGUUGUAUAUUUCGGUGGAAGUUCAGUGCAAUCAAUGACAUUCCAGAAAAAGAAAAGGAAAUGAUGCCAUUGAAAAUGGUUUGAUUCAGCAGUAAAAAGUUUACCCGUGAUAGAUUGUGAUGCAGACUUGCAGAGGAUUGGACAUCCAUAUCUAAUUUUAAUCAUGACUCAAGCUAAUUGGUUUGUGUUUAUGAGCAUAAAGUUUUGAGUAAUUCUAUAGAGUCUAGACAAGUCAAAAAGCUACAACAAUUUCACAAUAUUUUUAUAUUAACAUGUCAGAAAAAUGUAGUUUAGAAAUGUUAUAAAAUUGUUGACUUUUUAUUAUAUCCCUUGCAUUAUUUUUCCAAGUCUUAAACUGACUGGGCAAAAUUAAAGUAACUUUCGAUGAGAUAAGAAAGUAGUAGGCAAAUUCCUUUUUUUUUUUACUAAGUGAUCUUUGGAGUAUAUACUUAUAUAGCCUAUUUAUAAUACCAUGCCCUAGAGAUGCGUUCAUGUGCCAAAACGAUGGCCUCUAAGAAGUUCAUCACUUGGGGGCUUCUCUUCAUUUUGAUGUUUCUGUUGGCCUCAGAAGCGGCAUCCAGGAAAGUACUUGAGACUUCCGAGCUUGGCAAUUCAAAGCCGAAAGGUGUCAUGGCGCCUCCAACAACACCAACACUCAGGAUCAAUUUUGGAGUAGGAAGUUAUGGUAAUAAGCAAUCCAGAAAGUCAUCAAUUCUAGAGGGGAACAAAAGUAAAGGCCCGAUACCUCCGACAGCACCAAAUCCUGGUGUCCAUUUACCCAAAACGCCUUCGGGUAGUCGAAUUUAAGUUGAGAUAUGUAGCACAUAAAUAAAAGAAGUGAAUGAAUUCUCUUCCUCCAUUACUUGGUGAUUUAAUAAGCUACAAACCUUUGAUGUUACAAGUUAUCCAAUAUAAAAGAAAACCAGCUAUCCAAUCUGAAAAUUCAUGCCAUGUGACUUGUGAUUAUGGUCGUUGUGAUGCACGUUUAGUGCACAUUAUUGUACCUUUGGAAUUCUAUUAAACUUUUUCAAUAUAAAUAUGGCCUCUCGAAUUUUGUUGUUGAUAA
This is an RNA transcript of Quercus robur (English oak), 5415 nucleotides long. It is a transcript of the gene named structural maintenance of chromosomes protein 2-1-like, with no coding region annotated. NCBI's taxonomy places the organism in Eukaryota, Viridiplantae, Streptophyta, Magnoliopsida, Fagales, Fagaceae. The record is from RefSeq and is a predicted model, not a curated record. The transcript has 23 exons.